GCAUAUCAAUAAGCGGAGGAAAAGAAACCAACAGGGAUUGCCCCAGUAACGGCGAGUGAAGCGGCAACAGCUCAAAUUUGAAAUCUGGCCCCUAGGGGUCCGAGUUGUAAUUUGUAGAGGAUGCUUUUGGCAAGGUGCCGCCCGAGUUCCCUGGAACGGGACGCCACAGAGGGUGAGAGCCCCGUCUGGCUGGCCACCGAGCCUCUGUAAAGCUCCUUCGACGAGUCGAGUAGUUUGGGAAUGCUGCUCAAAAUGGGAGGUAUAUGUCUUCUAAAGCUAAAUACUGGCCAGAGACCGAUAGCGCACAAGUAGAGUGAUCGAAAGAUGAAAAGCACCUUGAAAAGAGGGUUAAAUAGUACGUGAAAUUGUUGAAAGGGAAGCGCUUGUGACCAGACUUGGGCGCGGCGGAUCAUCCGGGGUUCUCCCCGGUGCACUUCGCCGCGUCCAGGCCAGCAUCAGUUCGUCGCGGGGGAAAAAGGCUUCGGGAACGUGGCUCCUCCGGGAGUGUUAUAGCCCGUCGCACAAUACCCUGCUUCGGACUGAGGACCGCGCUUCGGCAAGGAUGCUGGCGUAAUGGUCACCAACGACCCGUCUUGAAACACGGACCAAGGAGUCGUCUUCGUAUGCGAGUGUUCGGGUGUCAAACCCCUACGCGGAAUGAAAGUGAACGCAGGUGAGAGCUUCGGCGCAUCAUCGACCGAUCCUGAUGUUCUCGGAUGGAUUUGAGUAAGAGCAUACGGGGCCGGACCCGAAAGAAGGUGAACUAUGCCUGUAUAGGGUGAAGCCAGAGGAAACUCUGGUGGAGGCUCGCAGCGGUUCUGACGUGCAAAUCGAUCGUCAAAUAUGGGCAUGGGGGGCGAAAGACUAAUCGAACCUUCUAGUAGCUGGUUUCCGCCGAAG
This 900-nucleotide ribosomal RNA is filed under the name Trichoderma psychrophilum. RNAcentral describes it as "LSU rRNA". It matches the Rfam family "Eukaryotic large subunit ribosomal RNA", at positions 38 to 966 of the family's 3401-position model. Lineage: Eukaryota; Fungi; Ascomycota; Sordariomycetes; Hypocreales; Hypocreaceae. The record is from RNAcentral.